UGGGGAAUAUUGCUCAAUGGGCGCAAGCCUGAAGCAGCGACGCCGCGUGAGGGAUGAAGGCCUUCGGGUUGUAAACCUCUUUCAGCGCCGAAGAAGCGAAAGUGACGGUAGGCGCAGAAGAAGCACCCGCUAACUCCGUGCCAGCAGCCGCGGUAAUACGUAGGGUGCAAGCGUUGUCCGGAAUCAUUGGGCGUAAAGAGCUCGUAGGCGGUCUGUCGCGUCUGCUGUGAAAACCUGGGGCUUAACCCUGGGCUUGCAGUGGGUACGGGCAGACUAGAGUGCGGUAGGGAAGACUGGAAUUCCUGGUGUAGCGGUGAAAUGCGCAGAUAGCAGGAGGAACACCGGUGGCGAGGGCGGGUCUCUGGGCCGUAACUGACGCUGAGGAGCGAAAGCAUGGGUAGCGAACAGG
This 409-nucleotide ribosomal RNA is filed under the name bacterium. Its description in RNAcentral is "partial 16S ribosomal RNA". It matches the Rfam family "Bacterial small subunit ribosomal RNA", at positions 355 to 776 of the family's 1533-position model. The record is from RNAcentral.